RNAcentral lists this ribosomal RNA (460 nucleotides) under uncultured bacterium. RNAcentral's name for it is "partial 16S ribosomal RNA". It matches the Rfam family "Bacterial small subunit ribosomal RNA", at positions 338 to 795 of the family's 1533-position model. The record is from RNAcentral.
CCUACGGGGGGCAGCAGUGAGGAAUAUUGGUCAAUGGACGAGAGUCUGAACCAGCCAAGUAGCGUGAAGGAUGACUGCCCUAUGGGUUGUAAACUUCUUUUAUAUGGGAAUAAAAUGUUCCACGUGUGGGAUUUUGUAUGUACCAUAUGAAUAAGGAUCGGCGAACUCCGUGCCAGCAGCCGCGGUAAUACGGAGGAUUCGAGCGUUAUCCGGAUUUAUUGGGUUUAAAGGGAGCGUAGGUGGAUUGUUAAGUCAGUUGUGAAAGUUUGCGGCUCAACCGUAAAAUUGCAGUUGAAACUGGCAGUCUUGAGUACAGUAGAGGUAGGCGGAAUGCGUGGUGUAGCGGUGAAAUGCUUAGAUAUCACGAAGAACUCCGAUUGCGAAGGCAGUUCACUGGACUGCAACUGACACUGAGGCUCGAAAGUGUGGGUAUCAAACAGGAUUAGAUACCCCUGUAGUC